RNAcentral lists this ribosomal RNA (252 nucleotides) under uncultured bacterium. RNAcentral's name for it is "partial 16S ribosomal RNA". It matches the Rfam family "Bacterial small subunit ribosomal RNA", at positions 81 to 334 of the family's 1533-position model. The record is from RNAcentral.
UACUUUGGUGGCGACCGGCGCACGGGUGCGUAACGCGUAUGCAACCUACCUUUAACAGGGGCAUAACACUGAGAAAUUGGUACUAAUUCCCCAUAACAUUCGAGAAGGCAUCUUCUUGGGUUAAAAACUCCGGUGGCUAAAGAUGGGCAUGCGUUGUAUUAGCUAGUUGGUGAGGUAACGGCUCACCAAGGCAACGAUACAUAGGGGGACUGAGAGGUUAACCCCCCACAUUGGUACUGAGACACGGACCAA